RNAcentral lists this ribosomal RNA (253 nucleotides) under uncultured bacterium. RNAcentral's name for it is "partial 16S ribosomal RNA". It matches the Rfam family "Bacterial small subunit ribosomal RNA", at positions 524 to 776 of the family's 1533-position model. The record is from RNAcentral.
UACAGAGGGUGCAAGCGUUAAUCGGAAUUACUGGGCGUAAAGCGUGCGUAGACGGUCAUGUAAGUCGGGUGUGAAAGCCCCGGGCUCAACCUGGGAAUUGCAUUCGAGACUGCAUGGCUAGGAUGCGGAAGAGGGAAGCGGAAUUUCCGGUGUAGCGGUGAAAUGCGUAGAUAUCGGAAGGAACACCAGUGGCGAAGGCGCCUUGCUGGCCAAUUUCUGACGCUGAGGCGCGAAAGCGUGGGGAGCAAACAGG